Molecule: long non-coding RNA, 826 nt
Filed under: Nicotiana tabacum (common tobacco)
Lineage: Eukaryota; Viridiplantae; Streptophyta; Magnoliopsida; Solanales; Solanaceae
Description: long non-coding RNA (NTAB_LNC007895)
Source: RNAcentral
AGAUAAAAAAACUGAAAAAUCACAAACGGCUAAAGAUUUGAGAAAAAUAUUGUUCCAUUGAAUUUUCUGCUUUGAAUUUUGAAGUUUUUCCAUUACUGAAACAAUUUCUGAUUCUCUUUGCGGUUGAAAUGGAUUGAGCUUGGGUAUUGAAAGAGCUGGUUUAGGUUUGUUGAUUGGUUUACUGUUCUAUUGAAUUUUCUGAGUGGAUUUUACUGUUUCAUUGUUGAGUUGAUGAAUCUGGACUAGCUGCUACUGCCUGUUGCUGAUAUUUUCAUUUUUUGUUAUUUUUGCUUUCCAGGUAUAUCUCUGGCCCUUGUUGACUGUGUAAUUCGAGUAAAACUUGAUGGAAUACAAGUUGUGUUCAAUUUAGUGUUCUCUCUUUUCCUACUAUUUCAAUUAUGUAGUAACUAUGUAACGAUAAGUGUUACAUGAGUUUGAUGUUUUCACAUUAUAAAUCUAGCUCGCUUACUGUUUGGAAUUGAGAAGGAUGUAAUUAGUUUGAAGUUUUAUGUUGUGUAUAAAAUCUAGCUUAGGUUAAAGUCCUUUUAUGAACUGUUUACCAUCAUGAAAUUAAACGUGUGUUUUCAGUAGUAUUCAAGAUCUCUUGGUGUGUUAGACAAUGAAUAAUACUGAGAUUUGCCAAUCUUGGUUUGAUUGUAUAGGGGUCACUUUGCCUUACAGGGUCCAGGCUCCUUAAGCUUGGAGUUCUGAGGUCAAUUUGCAAAGGGGGUUUGGGCCUGUCCCACAAGUCCCCAUAGUUACUGAGUUUGGUUGCUUGAUUAGUCAUGUAUCAUGUUUGUCCUGAAGUCGCAAAAAUUGAAAUUAG